CCUACGGGAGGCAGCAGUGGGGAAUAUUGGACAAUGGGCGCAAGCCUGAUCCAGCAAUGCCGCGUGUGUGAAGAAGGCCUGCGGGUUGUAAAGCACUUUCAGUAGAGAAGAAAAGCUUAGGGUUAAUACCCCAGAGUCUUGACGUAACCUACAGAAGAAGCACCGG
This 166-nucleotide ribosomal RNA is filed under the name uncultured bacterium. RNAcentral describes it as "partial 16S ribosomal RNA". It matches the Rfam family "Bacterial small subunit ribosomal RNA", at positions 338 to 496 of the family's 1533-position model. The record is from RNAcentral.